GGGAAAGGAGGAGAAGGGAAAGAGGAAACUUCCCUGAUCAUGGUGGCAGUUGCCAAUUUUGGACUUUCAGGGAGAGGUAUUCCACCAUUGGAUUCAGCACGGAAGUAAUGAGGAAGAACUGCUUCAGUCUCCAAAUUUGAUCAAGCAGGGAGAUGUCCUCCACAACUAGAUCUAAGAAGCAGUGAUUGUUGAUGAGCGUGUUCAGCUGGUGCCUAAUAAUCUUCAAACUGACGGCACCUUUGUCUUCCACCAUGGGUGUGUGUUGGUCAAAUUCAUAUGUACCUCCUGCAACAUGGUUAAUGCAAUAUGGUUCCACAGAAAUGACAUGCAGGGGUAUAACACCCAAUCCCAGUGUAACAGGCUGAACUUCAAAUAUGCCCUCAGAACAUGAAUCAAUUUCAAAAGUAGAAACAAUAUCAACAACAGGCUCAGAUUCAUGUUCAGUGCAUGGAGAAAAAACAUUUAGACAAGAUGGAAAAAGUUAUUUCUCAUCAUGCAGAGAGGGAGAAUUAAA
RNAcentral lists this long non-coding RNA (514 nucleotides) under Vigna radiata. RNAcentral's name for it is "long non-coding RNA (VRAD_LNC012512)". The record is from RNAcentral. Lineage: Eukaryota; Viridiplantae; Streptophyta; Magnoliopsida; Fabales; Fabaceae.